This 173-nucleotide unclassified non-coding RNA is filed under the name soil metagenome. RNAcentral's name for it is "partial contains 5.8S ribosomal RNA, internal transcribed spacer 2, and large subunit ribosomal RNA". The record is from RNAcentral.
AACGAGGCCGACCUGCGGCUGAGUUACCUGCGGAAGGAUCAUUAAUAAAUGUUACUUCGGUAACUUAAUUAAUCCCUAACACCUGUGCAUCUUGUCGCUUCGGCGUCAUUUUAUAAACAUCAGUGUAAUGAAUGUAACGUAUUAUAACAAAUACAACUUUUAACAACGGAUCU